GGAUAUAAAGCCUAAAUGAAUCAUGUCUGUUGUAAAUGAGAUCAAUAAAUGCUUAUUUGUGUGAAAAAGUGAUUGUUGUUCCUUUGAGAAGCAUUUUGUCCAAACUGAAUGUUUGAGUGUUGAGAAGAUCUGAGUUUCUUCUAAUAUCAGUGUGUUGAAGUGUUGUUUCUCUCUCUCUGCUGGAGUUUGUGUUCACUCGAGUGGAAUAGAGGUUUUUGUACGACCGUUUCAUUAGAUUGUAUCACUGUGGUGGACUUUCGGUGGAGGAACUAAACUGGUGCUCGCUGGUCCCACAGUGAAGCCCUCAGUGUCUCUGCUGCCGCCCUCUUCUCUGCAGAUCUCUGGAGACUCAGCUGCACUGCUCUGCCUGCUCAGCUCUUACUCUCCACAGGGGGCGCUGGUGAGCUGGACACUGGACGGGUCAGAGGUCACCGAGGGGGUCGUGACCAGCGCAGAGAGCCAGCGGGACGGCCGCUACAGCCGCAGUAGCGUCCUGACCCUCAGCAAAGCACGCUGGGAAAAGGGAGAGGUGUACGUCUGCAGAGUAA
Ctenopharyngodon idella (grass carp) is the source of this 548-nucleotide long non-coding RNA. RefSeq lists it as uncharacterized. Lineage: Eukaryota; Metazoa; Chordata; Actinopteri; Cypriniformes; Xenocyprididae. The record is from RefSeq and is a predicted model, not a curated record. The transcript is spliced from 2 exons.